UCCAGCCAAGUAUGGCGCCUUUAAUCUCUUCUACUAGGGAAGCUGGACGGAUCUCUUGAGCUCAGGAGUUCUGAGCUGCAGUGGCCUGGACUGAUCAGCUGUCUAAACAAAGUUUGGCACUAAUAUGGUGAGCCACUGGGAGUAGAGGUUUGCUAAGCUGCCUGAGGAGGAGGGAACAGGCCCAGGUCAGAACUGGAGCGGGUCAAAGCUUGUGUGCCAAUCAGUAACAGGAUCCAUCUGUGAGUGACCGCCGCAUUUCCAGCCUGGGUGAGAUAGGGAGGCCCAGUUU
RNAcentral lists this signal recognition particle RNA (289 nucleotides) under Vombatus ursinus (common wombat). Its description in RNAcentral is "Metazoan signal recognition particle RNA (ENSVURG00010018751.1)". It matches the Rfam family "Metazoan signal recognition particle RNA". From Rfam's summary of the family: The signal recognition particle (SRP) is a universally conserved ribonucleoprotein. It is involved in the co-translational targeting of proteins to membranes. The eukaryotic SRP consists of a 300-nucleotide 7S RNA and six proteins: SRPs 72, 68, 54, 19, 14, and 9. Lineage: Eukaryota; Metazoa; Chordata; Mammalia; Diprotodontia; Vombatidae. The record is from RNAcentral.